GGGCUUGUAGCUCAGGUGGUUAGAGCGCACGCCUGAUAAGCGUGAGGUCGGAGGUUCAAGUCCUCCCAGGCCCA
RNAcentral lists this transfer RNA (74 nucleotides) under Candidatus Bathyarchaeota archaeon. RNAcentral describes it as "tRNA-Ile". It matches the Rfam family "tRNA". Rfam says of the family: Transfer RNA (tRNA) molecules are approximately 80 nucleotides in length. Their secondary structure includes four short double-helical elements and three loops (D, anti-codon, and T loops). Further hydrogen bonds mediate the characteristic L-shaped molecular structure. tRNAs have two regions of fundamental functional importance: the anti-codon, which is responsible for specific mRNA codon recognition, and the 3' end, to which the tRNAs corresponding amino acid is attached (by aminoacyl-tRNA synthetases). tRNAs cope with the degeneracy of the genetic code in two manners: having more than one tRNA (with a specific anti-codon) for a particular amino acid; and 'wobble' base-pairing, i.e. permitting non-standard base-pairing at the 3rd anti-codon position. Lineage: Archaea; Thermoproteati; Candidatus Bathyarchaeota. The record is from RNAcentral.